UAGGGAAUCUUCGGCAAUGGACGGAAGUCUGACCGAGCAACGCCGCGUGAGUGAAGAAGGUUUUCGGAUCGUAAAGCUCUGUUGUAAGAGAAGAACGAGUGUGAGAGUGGAAAGUUCACACUGUGACGGUAUCUUACCAGAAAGGGACGGCUAACUACGUGCCAGCAGCCGCGGUAAUACGUAGGUCCCGAGCGUUGCCCGGAUUUAUUGGGCGUAAAGCGAGCGCAGGCGGUUAGAUAAGUCUGAAGUUAAAGGCUGUGGCUUAACCAUAGUAGGCUUUGGAAACUGUUUAACUUGAGUGCAAGAGGGGAGAGUGGAAUUCCAUGUGUAGCGGUGAAAUGCGUAGAUAUAUGGAGGAACACCGGUGGCGAAAGCGGCUCUCUGGCUUGUAACUGACGCUGAGGCUCGAAAGCGUGGGGAGCAAACAGGAUUAGAUACCCUGGUAGUCCACGCUGUAAACCAUGAGUGCUAUGUGUUACACCCUUGUCAGGGUUUANUGCGGAGCUUACGCAUCANACNCUCCCGCUGGGGAGCACUACNGCCUGGUGAGUACCNNCUGCAUUGUUG
RNAcentral lists this ribosomal RNA (567 nucleotides) under uncultured bacterium. RNAcentral describes it as "bacterial SSU rRNA". It matches the Rfam family "Bacterial small subunit ribosomal RNA", at positions 355 to 915 of the family's 1533-position model. The record is from RNAcentral.